Non-coding RNA from Schizosaccharomyces pombe (fission yeast), 200 nucleotides. NCBI's taxonomy places the organism in Eukaryota, Fungi, Ascomycota, Schizosaccharomycetes, Schizosaccharomycetales, Schizosaccharomycetaceae. The record is from the annotation of a GenBank genome assembly.
GGAUUAUCCUCAAAUCGUUUUUAUAGCCCCCUUUCUACUUUGUUCGAGCAUACACCGUACAUUAUGCAUUUGCAUAUAGAUGGAGUGAUCUAGGAACUUUUGUAAAUUUUUUUCUCUUUGCUUGUUUUUCCUUCCUACGAAAGUUCUACCCCUUCGUUGCACUUUUCACUUCAGUGUCUUUUUCCAUAGAACAAAAUGUU